AUGUGCACUAAUACCCGCAUGAAAACAAUAGGGAACUACAAAUUUGUUCUCAAGCAAAAUUUUGAGCCGAACUAUACUAAUCAUUGGAUCAACUUAAUACCACACAUUAAAUUCUGUAGUACUACGAUGUACUGUAAAAAGUUCUGUUUUUCUAUCCACAUUGAACAAAACCAGCAAGGGGGCAGCAUAGCAUGUAGUACUAAUGUUGAUAUUCUUUUUCAGGAACAGAGAGCAAUAGCAGUGUCUUGUUCUUGGGCAGCCUGCAAGCAACGGAGUGCUCGGAACAGGAAACGUCCCCGACCCAUCGAUGCCAACGAAUCAGCCGCGGCAGAAUCACAUCCGUCGGAAUCCGAAAAUGAUGGCGGCUCUACGCGGCAUAUAUCCAACACCAUGUCCAACUUCUGCGAUGGAAAGAGGAAGGCCGUCACCGAGAUCGGAUUCGGCGGAGUUCUACACAUGCCGAUGAAUGGCAAUGCCAACCUCAGGCACGCCGUGUCACUUCUCAGCAGAGUUGAUCUGAAUUCUGGAACCCUGCCCGUUGGGAAAGAUGUCAGGGUCCAAAUGAGCCCAGAGCACAUAGAGAGGCUGAUAGGCACGCCCUCGAGAGGACGAAGAGUCUGUGGACUGGACCCGGACACUCCGGAAGAGAGGACGGACUUCGUGAGGCUCGCCAUGGGCUCACAACGGUUCUACAAUGACGGGCUGAAGGCUGCCGAGCUUGUUGUCCGGCGGGAGUGGGACGGGUCGGUCACCGCCGAGAGGGUGGAGGAGUUCAAAGUAGCAUUUGUCGUCUGGAUCGUCGGGCGUUUUCUUGCUCCGUCCACGAAGCAUGAUGAUCAUGGCUGCUCGGAUUUCUGGGGCUCGCUCUACAACGCGAAUGAGAUCAGAGAAUACAACUGGAGCGCGUAUUUCCUUGCACACAUCAUGGGUGCUGCAGCAAGGGUUCAGUCAGACAUCAAGAACAAGAGGGCUACGACUGCAAUGUUGAUCAGUGGUUGCCCACUUCUCCUACAGUUGUACGACUUGUACCUUCGGCCCCUGAGAAAGCCACAAUUAGUGUCCCCUCGUGUCAAGGACUACGACAGCGAGACACUCGUCAACAAGAUGAUCAGUGCCGACACGCUACCCAAGAUUUCGGCACAAGGGGAGCCAUCCUUCGGAGCAUGUGGCCCCCGCUGCCGCGAAGAGUCAUGCUACAUGACCAUGGAUCCAGGACAACCAAGCUCAUCCCAUGUUUUGAGGCCAGGUCAGGGUGCACCCGAAACCCCCCGGGUCCAAGUAACAAAUCAAGUCCCACCGAUCCUCCAACCCUAUAAUGCAUACGACUUCUGUGGAUUUCUAAAAGGGAGAUACCCGGACAUGAUGGAUUCUGAAUUGGUAGACCAUUUGAAGUUCCACAAUGCCAGAUGCAUUCUGCACUCUAGCAUAUUCAAGAACUCUAUCAUCACCGAGAACAUGAAACUUGCGGCCAAAAUACUAGACACGCAGAGACAGCGAAAGAAGCAAGCGCCUGCCCGGGCUCGUGUUUUAGAAGACUACUUCACCGCUAGUGAUUCUGAAACCGAAGCGGAGAACAAACGAGCCAGGACUCAUGAAAAGAGCAAGCUACCACCUCUUUGCCGCCAUGUCGUCCAACGCCUCCACCUACUCAACCCUCUUCACCGUCGACCCCGCGGAAAUCCGCGACAUCAACGUCCAUGCACGCGUUCCCGUCGUCCUCGACGCCUCCAACUCCACGUACUUCACGUGGAAGACGUACUUCACGCUGCUCUUCCGCGAGAACAACCUCAUGGAUCACGUGGAUGGCACCGUUGA
Molecule: ribosomal RNA, 1815 nt
Filed under: Triticum aestivum (bread wheat)
Lineage: Eukaryota; Viridiplantae; Streptophyta; Magnoliopsida; Poales; Poaceae
Description: partial small subunit ribosomal RNA
Source: RNAcentral